This is a long non-coding RNA of Bubalus bubalis (water buffalo), 1612 nucleotides long. RefSeq lists it as uncharacterized. Lineage: Eukaryota; Metazoa; Chordata; Mammalia; Artiodactyla; Bovidae. The record is from RefSeq and is a predicted model, not a curated record. The transcript has 3 exons.
GUGAAGUUGCUCAGUCGUGUCCGACUCUUAGCGACCCCAUCGACUGCAGGGUAUCAGGCUCCUCCGGCCAUGGGAUUUUCCAGGCAAGAGUACUGGAGUGGGGUGCCAUUGCCUUCUCUGGAUGAGGAGAGUAGAACACAGCUAAACUUUUGUGCUGUAAAUCCUACUUCAGAAUCAUAAACUCCAAUGUGAUAACUUGGCUGGGAAUCACUUGCUCUGGAACUUCUUAGGAGUAUGAGACUGGGGAAAUCAUCCUUGGGGAUCUUAUGAAGACCUUCUCAUGAGUAGAAUACAGUGGAAGAGGAACAUGUGUGGAAAUGAAAAUGAAAAUGCCACUCAGAAAUCAUGCUUCAGCAAAAUAGGCCAAGUUAAAUGUUGAAUUUUAAUAACAUACUGUUAAUCAUGCUUUCCUUCCUGUCUUCCACAACUAUGUACUUACACAUCCCAGAAUAGAAAUGGAACUUUUUGACAUUUCCUAAUAUUUUAAAAUGAUAAACCGAAAUUACCCUUUGGAAAGCAUAAUUGUUAGUAAUAAAAAGCUGCUAUAUUUCUCUACUAUGAAGAUGUGCUUUAAGCACAAGCGGGAUACUUUAUGUCUUAGCUGUUCUUGCACAUCAGUUAAAUUAGAAUGCUUUGAUAUGUUAAUUAUUUAUCAUUUUAAAUUAUGCAUCUUCAAAAAUCAAAGAAACACAUAACCUAUAAUUUAUUAUUCAUUUAGCAUGAAAAUGUGUCUUUAUGUGGCAGUUUCUCUUCUAGGUACAGAACUUCUGUUUUGAUGUAAAACUUAUCAACAUAUGGCUUCAAAUGCAGGAUGGAAAAAUUAAGUUAUUUGAAAAACUUCACACACAAAAUCUCUAGCAAUUGUUUUCCAAUGUGAUUUUGCCAGUUUAUAUGUCUUAAUGAUGUUCUAAACCUGUGCCUCUGUGGAUAGAGACAGACACAGAUACAGAUACAGUAUAAUUAGGUAUGGCAUCUACAUCUGUGUCAUUGCCUAUACCUGUAUCUAUAUAUCUUUGUGUGUAUGUAUGUGUUUGGUUUCUGCAAAAAUAAAUAUUCUGGAAUUCAGACAAAUGCGUCAAGUUCAUAGCAUGUUGAAGUAAAUAGAGGGCUCUCUAUAAAUAAUGAAAUAUAUAAUUAAAUAGCAUUUUCUCUACUUCUAACAGGCAAGAUUCUACUUUCUUAUCUGUUUUUACAGUAAAGGGAGCCAUAUAACUAGAAAAAUACAAUGUCCUUUUUCCCAGGUGCUCUAAAAACAAAUUAUCUAAUAUCAGCAUCUACUCCCUUAAAUAAAUUAAUACAACAUACAUUAUGUUAACUGUUGAUGUAUAUGUUAGGGAUCACCCAAAGAAGAAAGUGAUAAACAUGUAUACAAACAGAAAGGGCUUGCUAGUUAAGAAUUUGAGUUAUUUAGGAGUGUUUAUGCAAAAGUUUGAGAAACAAGCCUGAGGAAUGGUUAUACUACAUUAUAGUUUUUCCCCAACUUUGUUUAAUGCCGUAUUAGAAGUGAUAACCUAACCAUUGUCACCUAACCAUUCCAAAAGAAAAGGAUAUCAAAUGUACUGAAUACUUUCUAGUUAUGAACACUAACUAUUGAGCUCUACUUAUGUUUCAU